Bos taurus (domestic cattle) is the source of this 1683-nucleotide long non-coding RNA. The record is from Ensembl. Lineage: Eukaryota; Metazoa; Chordata; Mammalia; Artiodactyla; Bovidae.
GUUCUGUCCAGCCAGAGCAUAAAUUAUGAGAUGGUGAAUGAUCAGAGAUGAGACUGGAGAGGAAAGCAGGGACCUUGAAAACCUGACAAAGAGUUUGAACUUGAAUUUGACUUCCAAGGCAAUAAGGAGCCCCAGAGGACACAGACACCCAGAUGAAGAGAAAUCCAGAUCCGCGAAGCACCUGGGCCCAUGGUUCCUAUCUGGCAGAGUCUCAUUUUGGACCCUAAGUAUCACAAGACCUCUCCAGUCCAUGCCUCCUGGCAACUCUGCUUAGCAUACUGGCCCAUCCUGCUUUUGACCUCAGCCCUCCCCCAUCCCCCCACAGUGAGCUCAGACUACCUCUUAGACUGUCCACUGCAAGGACCUGUUUCUUGUGUGGGGACUCAUCUUUGUGGGGACUCACUUCCUGUUUGCAGCUGGAUGCCUGCUCAGCAUCCAGGAGUCAGGCGCUCCUCUACAGUUUCCAAGCUGCUCGGUCACAUCUUUCUCUGAUACAGCUUCUUCUAUGGCACAAGUGUGCACUAAAACUGAAAUCCAGGGCUUUCCUGGUGGUUCAGUGGUAAAGAAUCCACCUGCCAAAGCAGGAGACAUGGGUUCAAUCCCAAGGCCAGGAGGAUCCCACAUGCCACAGAGCAACCAACCCCAUACACCACAGCUACUGAGCCUGUGCUCUAGAGCCCAUGCUCCGCAACAAGAGAAGCCACCGACAUGAGAAGCCUGAGCACACAACUAGAGAAAAGCCUACUUGUACCAACGAAGACGAAGCACAGCCAAAUAAGUAAAAAAAAAUUUUUUUUUAAAGAAAUUAAAAAAAACUUAAAAUUCAAGUCAUGCUGACCAGAGUGGGCGGGCCAUCCACCAUGAAUAUUUGCCAUAGCAUCUUCAGCAUAUUAGUGAGAACUGAACACUGAACUAAGGCCUUAACAUCUGUUAUCUCUGUGCGUGUUUAAUACAACCCUGAGAGAUUCUCAUAUUAUUCCUAUUUUAUGGAUGAGGAAAUAGGCAAAGAUGUUAAGUAACUUUCUCAAGGUCACCAGGCUAGAAACUGGGACUGGAGCCCUGUUGCAUCUAAUGUUAAGUGCCUGCUCUUAACCACCACUCGAUACUGCCUCUCGUGGUCUUCAUCAGCAUUCCAAGGCCUCAGUUAAGUCCUCUGCCUGGGAUCAGCCUCAGAGUCUGGAUUAUUCCCAGAGCAAAUAUCAGGCCAGGACUAAAUCUUGGGCCCAGAAAAACUCGGCGGGGAACAAAUGGAACCCUGGAAGGGAUUUUGCUGCAGUCGAAGGAGUUGGAGAUUAGGAUUCAAAAGGACUGAGGUUGUCUUGCUCGGCCCCUUGUUGUCUGAGUGGACCCGGUCAAAUCUUGAAUCUCUCUGAGCAUCAGUUUCUUCAUCGGUGACAUAAGGGUAGCAGCAGAAGCUACCUCUCCGAGAUGGACUGAGGAACAAGUGAGGAAAUGCGUCAACAUAAGGCAGGAUCCUAUGGACUACAGAGGACUGUCUGAUGGAAUGACUGUUAGUGCCAGCCACUACUCAGUAUUUGUUAUGGGACAAACAAACUGCUUUGGCAAAUGUCACAAAGGUUUGCCUUCCAUUCCACUCCUGAAAAGUGAAAAUUAGGGAGCUCCCUAAUAGGGACUCCCAUAACCACUGGCAGUCCAGUGGUUAAGACUCUGUGCUUCCAAUGC